CGAGCGGCGGACGGGUGAGUAAUACUUAGGAACAUGCCUUUGGGUGGGGGAUAACUAUUGGAAACGAUAGCUAAUACCGCAUAAUGUCUACGGACCAAAGCGGGGGACCUUCGGGCCUCGCGCCAAAAGAUUAGCCCAAGUGAGAUUAGCUAGUAGGUGAGGUAAUGGCUCACCUAGGCGACUAUCUCUAGCUGUUCUGAGAGGAAGAUCAGCCACACUGGAACUGAGACACGGUCCAGACUCCUACGGGAGGCAGCAGUGGGGAAUAUUGCACAAUGGGGGAAACCCUGAUGCAGCCAUGCCGCGUGUGUGAAGAAGGCCUUCGGGUUGUAAAGCACUUUCAGUUGUGAGGAAAGCAUAAUGGUUAAUACCCAUUAUCUGUGACGUUAGCAACAGAAGAAGGACCGGCUAACUCCGUGCCAGCAGCCGCGGUAAUACGGAGGGUCCGAGCGUUAAUCGGAAUUACUGGGCGUAAAGCGCACGCAGGCGGUUUGUUAAGUUAGAUGUGAAAGCCCCGGGCUUAACCUGGGAAUAGCAUUUAAAACUGGAAAGCUAGAGUAUUGUAGAGGGUGGUGGAAUUUCCAGUGUAGCGGUGAAAUGCGUAGAGAUUGGAAGGAACACCAGUGGCGAAGGCGACUUACUGGACCAAUACUGACACUGAGGUGCGAAAGCGUGGGGAGCAAACGGGAUUAGAUACCCCGGGAGUCCACGCCGUAAACGAUGUCUACUAGCCGUUGGGAGACAUGAUCUCUUAGUGGCGCAGCUAAACGCAAUAAGUAGACCGCCUGGGGAUUACGGCCGCAAGGUUAAAACUCAAAUGAAUUGACGGGGGCCCGCACAAACGGUGGAGCAUGUGGUUUAAUUCGAUGCAACGCGAAGAACCUUACCUGGUCUUGACAUCCUACGAACUUUCCAGAGAUGGAUUGGUGCCUUCGGGAACUCUGGGACAGGUGCUGCAUGGCUGUCGUCAGCUCGUGUCGCGAGAUGUUGGGUUAAGUCCCGUAACGAGCGCAACCCAUAUCCUUAUUUGCCAGCACGUAAUGGUGGGAACUCUAAGGAGACUGCCGGUGACAAACCGGAGGAAGGUGGGGACGACGUCAAGUCAUCAUGGCCCUUACGACCUGGGCUACACACGUGCUACAAUGGCCGGUAUAGAGGGCUGCAAUACCGCGAGGUGGAGCGAAUCUCAGAAAACCGGUCGUAGUCCGGAUUGGAGUCUGCAACUCGACUCCAUGAAGUCGGAAUCGCUAGUAAUCGCGAAUCAGAAUGUCGCGGUGAAUACGUUCCCGGGCCUUGUACACACCGCCCGUCACACCAUGGGAGUGGAUUGCACCAGAAGUAGGUAGCUUAACCUUCGGGAGAGCGCUUACCACGGUGUGGUUCAUGACUGGGGUGAAG
Molecule: ribosomal RNA, 1398 nt
Filed under: uncultured prokaryote
Description: partial 16S ribosomal RNA
Rfam family: Bacterial small subunit ribosomal RNA
Source: RNAcentral